GACGAACGCUGGCGGUGUGCUUAACACAUGCAAGUCGAACGGAAAGGCCCUGCUUGCAGGGUAUUCGAGUGGCCAACGGGUGAGUAACACGUGGGUGAUCUGCCCUCCACUUCGUGAUAAGCCUGGGAAACUGGGUCUAAUACCGGAUAGGAGCCAUUUUUAGUGUGUGGGUUGGAAAGUUUUUUCGGUGUAGGAUGAGUUCGCGGCCUAUUAGCGUGUUGGUGGGGUAAUGGGCUACCAAGGCGGCGACGGGUAGCUGGCCUGAGGGGGUGGACGGCGACCCUGGGUCUGAGGUGCGGCCCAGACGCCUACGGGAGGCAGCAGGGGGGAAGAUUGCACAAGGGGCGCCAGCCUGGUGCAGCGGCGCCGCGUGGGGGAUGACGGCCUUCGUGUUGAAAAAUCCUUUCGCUAGGGACGAAGCUUUUUGUGACGGUACCUAGAGAAGAAGCACCGGCUAACUACGUG
RNAcentral lists this ribosomal RNA (465 nucleotides) under uncultured bacterium. RNAcentral describes it as "partial 16S ribosomal RNA". It matches the Rfam family "Bacterial small subunit ribosomal RNA", at positions 28 to 507 of the family's 1533-position model. The record is from RNAcentral.